This 433-nucleotide ribosomal RNA is filed under the name uncultured bacterium. Its description in RNAcentral is "partial 16S ribosomal RNA". It matches the Rfam family "Bacterial small subunit ribosomal RNA", at positions 29 to 507 of the family's 1533-position model. The record is from RNAcentral.
AACGAACGCUGGCGGCAUGCCUAACACAUGCAAGUCGAACGAGACCUUCGGGUCUAGUGGCGCACGGGUGCGUAACGCGUGGGAACCUGCCCUUAGGUUCGGAAUAACUCCCCGAAAGGGGUGCUAAUACCGGAUAAUGUCUUCGGACCAAAGAUUUAUCGCCUUUGGAUGGGCCCGCGUUGGAUUAGCUAGUUGGUAGGGUAAAAGCCUACCAAGGCGACGAUCCAUAGCUGGUCUGAGAGGAUGAUCAGCCACACUGGAGCUGAGACACGGCCCAGACUCCUACGGGAGGCAGCAGUGGGGAAUAUUGGACGAUGGGCGAAAGCCUGAUCCAGCAAUGCCGCGUGAGUGAUGAAGGCCUUAGGGUUGUAAAGCUCUUUUACCCGGGAUGAUAAUGACAGUACCGGGAGAAUAAGCUCCGGCUAACUCCGUG